Molecule: ribosomal RNA, 253 nt
Filed under: uncultured prokaryote
Description: partial 16S ribosomal RNA
Rfam family: Bacterial small subunit ribosomal RNA
Source: RNAcentral
GACGAACCGUGCGAACGUUGUUCGGAAUCACUGGGCUUAAAGGGCGCGUAGGCGGCUCGCGAGGUCGGGGGUGAAAUCCCACGGCUCAACCGUGGAAGGGCCUCCGAUACCGGCGAGCUGGAGGAAGGUAGGGGUGCGCGGAACUUCUGGUGGAGCGGUGAAAUGCGUUGAGAUCGGAAGGAACGCCCGUGGCGAAAGCGAGGUCCUGGACGUUUUCUGACGCUGAGACGCGAAAGCCAGGGGAGCGAACGGG